RNAcentral lists this long non-coding RNA (1186 nucleotides) under Olea europaea (common olive). RNAcentral describes it as "long non-coding RNA (OEUR_LNC013105)". Lineage: Eukaryota; Viridiplantae; Streptophyta; Magnoliopsida; Lamiales; Oleaceae. The record is from RNAcentral.
UUCUUCUGCGUGAAUAGGGGUCCAAAAUCUGAGUGUUCCAGUAUAUAAAUGUUGUGAAAACCUUUGUUAUACCAUAGAUGCUUGUAGUUGUGUGCUGUUCGGUGUUGGUGUUGUAUGAAUCUGUGUGACUGGAUGAGAAAAGUGCUGGGUUUUCAAAGAUCUGUGUGAUCUGGGGCCGAUUCCUUAGUGGAUAGUGGUUAAGCUUGUGAUUUCUCUUCAAGAUAAGUCCAGUGCUUGGUCUUUUUAAUUUCUGGAAUAAUAUUGUAUAUUCUUUUAGUCGGUUUUUGGCUUUACUAGUGCAACCGAGCUAUAUCAAUUUAUAAUGAAUGUUCAACAUGGGAUUAGACGUUAUAUGUGGUCGUCAAACCUCUAGGGCUACGGCUAAAAAAUCUUUGUAUUGAUUUUUACAUUUUCUGCAUUUAUUCUUUACUGUUUGUGUUGUGGUUUUGGAAUCUUGGUUAAUCUUUGGUCCUUGCUCAUUAUUUCAAUGGUAUCAAAGCUAUUUGGAAUAUUCUGAACCUGCCUUCAAGUAUUGUGAAUACUGCUUGGUAGAAUUUUGAGUUCUUUUUAACUCUUUGGUGUGAUCUUUCCUCCAUCCUGUAAUUAGUAAUUUUUAUGGUAAGGUCUCCUGAUUUUUCCCUUGAUUUGCCUUAUACUAUCAUAUGUCACGUGCUUGGUCUUUGUCCAAAGACUCGAGAAGUCUUGGGAAUCUGAGAUAACAACACGUUGAGGAGUGCAAUUGGAAGGUCUUGCUAGAGAAGUCAAUUAAGGCAUAGGAGUUGAUAUCUCUGUCUCUGUGUUUCUGCCUCUUAUACUUAGUGUUGAGUGUUCACUGUUUCUUGAAGAAAAUUUGUAUAAGUGCAUUGUUGUUUGACCCUAUCCUCCGUCUGCUUGCAGUUGUUUGUGAUGUGAUCCAAGAAUCAAGUUUGAAGACAACGAGUUCGAGUCGAGACUCGUUGAUUGUCGAAGGUGGACAGAUGAUGCAAUCGAGAGCAAAGUAAGUGAAACGAACGAUGGGAUUGCUUGUUCAAGAAACCAUUGAUGGGACGAUGUUCGGGACGCAAAAUGGGAUAACUUUCAUGUUCGGGUCGUUAACCGAAUCAAAGUGGAUCAACUCAAUACAAGCAGACGAAAACGGAGGCCAAAGUUCAUGCUGUGCGACCGCAUAGCAUAAAAGUCGUACGGC